This 157-nucleotide unclassified non-coding RNA is filed under the name soil metagenome. Its description in RNAcentral is "partial internal transcribed spacer 1". The record is from RNAcentral.
AGCGAGUAUGGCCCUCACGGGUCUAAUCCACCAUAAAACACCUUUGUGAACCAGUCCAGGGGGACUCGGCCGUUGAAAGCCCAGGCGAUUAGCGGAAGGGCCCCUCCCUUUGCAAACCCGUUUAGAAGUCUUGAAAGUACUUUUGUAUAAUCUAGUA